This 267-nucleotide ribosomal RNA is filed under the name uncultured Gammaproteobacteria bacterium. RNAcentral describes it as "partial 16S ribosomal RNA". Lineage: Bacteria; Pseudomonadati; Pseudomonadota; Gammaproteobacteria. The record is from RNAcentral.
CAGCGUCAGUUACGGUCCAGGAGAGUUGCCUUCGCCAUUGGUAUUCCUCAUGAUAUCUACGCAUUUCACCGCUACACCAUGAAUUCUACUCUCCUCUCCCGUACUCCAGUUUAAAGUUUUGAAUGCAGUUCCCAGGUUAAGCCCGGGGAUUUCACACCCAACUUGUCAAACCGCCUACGCGCGCUUUACGCCCAGUAAUUCCGAUUAACGCUUGGACCCUCCGUAUUACCGCGGCUGCUGGCCCCCCGUGCCCCCGCCACGCCCGCC